CGAGGGUGGAAUCGAAGCCCUCUGCCGUUAAGCAGAUACAAGUUUAAAGCCCGUACACUGGACCACCCAAGAUCAU
Molecule: non-coding RNA, 76 nt
Organism: Caligus rogercresseyi
Lineage: Eukaryota; Metazoa; Arthropoda; Copepoda; Siphonostomatoida; Caligidae
Source: the annotation of a GenBank genome assembly